AACGCGAAGAACCUUACCUAAGCUUGACAUCCUUUUGACCGAUGCCUAAUCGCAUCUUUCCCUUCGGGGACAGAAGUGACAGGUGGUGCAUGGUUGUCGUCAGCUCGUGUCGUGAGAUGUUGGGUUAAGUCCCGCAACGAGCGCAACCCUUGCCUUUAGUUGCCAGCAUUAAGUUGGGCACUCUAGAGGGACUGCCAGGGAUAACCUGGAGGAAGGUGGGGAUGACGUCAAAUCAUCAUGCCCCUUAUGCUUAGGGCUACACACGUGCUACAAUGGGUGGUACAGAGGGCAGCCAAGCCGUGAGGCCGAGCUAAUCCCUUAAAGCCAUUCUCAGUUCGGAUUGUAGGCUGAAACUCGCCUACAUGAAGCUGGAGUUACUAGUAAUCGCAGAUCAGAAUGCUGCGGUGAAUGCGUUCCCGGGUCUUGUACACACGC
This 435-nucleotide ribosomal RNA is filed under the name uncultured Romboutsia sp. RNAcentral's name for it is "bacterial SSU rRNA". It matches the Rfam family "Bacterial small subunit ribosomal RNA", at positions 958 to 1393 of the family's 1533-position model. The record is from RNAcentral. Lineage: Bacteria; Bacillati; Bacillota; Clostridia; Peptostreptococcales; Peptostreptococcaceae.